Molecule: ribosomal RNA, 1764 nt
Filed under: marine metagenome
Description: bacterial LSU rRNA
Rfam family: Bacterial large subunit ribosomal RNA
Source: RNAcentral
AAGGAAACUUCGAAUACCAGUAAAGUAUAAUAGGCAGACAGACAAGCUGUGCUAAGGUCGAUUGUCGAAAGGGAAACAGCGCAGCCUGGCCGCUAAGGUCCCAAAGCAUUCUGUGAGUGGGAAAAGAUGUGAUACAACUAUGACAACUAGGAGGUUGGCUUGGAAGCAGCCAUUCUAUCAUGAAAGCGUAAUAGCUCACUAGUCGAGUUGUGUUGCGCUGAAAAUGUAUCGGGGCUGAACAGAAUCACCGAAGCGCCAGUUUUUAAGUAGCGAAGCGUUUUGUGCGCCAAUGAACAUACAUCGUAAGAUUUGUGGAAGGUCUCAAAAGUGACUAUGCUGACAUGAGUAACGAAAAAUCAUGUAAAGCCAUGAUCGCCGUAAGUCCAAGGGUUUCUGCUAACUGGGAAUCAGUGCAGAGUUAAGUUCGGUCCCUAAGAGUUUGUAUACACUUAUACGCUCGAUGGAGGACGUUUAUGCAAGACGGCUAUUAUACACAAAUACUGCAAAUUGGAUACGGUGUAUGUGUGUUGUAGUCCAGGAAAAAAGCAUUAAUGCAAGACCGUACCCGAAACCGACACAGGUGGACGAGUCGAGUAGACUCAGGCGUUGAGUGAACCAUAUUGAAGGAACUCGGCAAAAUAAUCCCGUAACUUAGGAAGAAGGGAUACCGAAAGGUGACACAAAAAUGGGGGUGACGACUUUUUACUAAAAAAUUAGGACUCUGCAAAAUGGUAACAUGCUGUAUAGGGUCUGACGUCUGCCCGGUGCUAGAAGUCUAAAAGGCGCAUUGCAAGAUGCAAAUGGAAAGCCUAGUAAACGGCGGUUGUAACUAUAACAAUCAUAAAGUAGCGAAAUUCAUUGCCAGCUAAUUCCUGGCCUGCAUGAAAGACGUAACGAUUGCCCCACUGUCUCCAGUAUGGACUCAGUGAAAUUGAAUUCUCCGUGCAGAUGCGGAGUACGUGCCCCAAGACGAGAAGACCCUGUGCAUCUUUACUGUACAUUUGCAUUGACAAAACGAUGAGCAUGCGUAGGAUAGGUGGGAGUACAUACAUCCUUGAAAUACCACCCUUGCCAUGGGUUUUGUCUUACACCGAAUUUGGUGCACAAUGCAUGUGAGGCAGUUUGACUGGGGCGGUCGCCUCCUAAAAGGUAACGGAGGCGUGCGAAGGUAAACUCAAUGCAAGACGGAAACUUGCUGAAGAGCGUAAUGGUAUAUGUUUGCCUGACUGUAAGAUGUACACAUCAAACAGAGACGAAAGUCGGCCAUAAUGAUCCACAAGUGCCGUGUGGAAGGGCUUGUGCUUAACGAAUCAAAGAUACGCCAGGGAUAACAGGCUGAUAAUUCCCAAGAGUCCUUAUCGACGGAAUUGUUUGGCACCUCGAUGUUGACUGAUCAUAUCCUGGGGCUGAAGAAGGUCCCAAGGGUUCGGCUGUUCGCCGAAUAAAAUGGUACCUGAGUUGAGUUUAGAACGUCGUGAGACAGUUUGGAUUCUACCUGGGGUGCGCGUAAAAGAAUUGUGAAAACCACGUCCUUGUACGAGAGGACCGGACGUGUACAACCACUGGUCGAGUAAUUGUUUUGCCGAAAGCAUUGUUACCAGGCUACGUUGUGAAAGGAAAAGAACUGAAAGCAUCUCAAGUUCGAAACUUUUUUCGAGACAAAUUCUUUAAGAUGUCGUGAAAGACUAUCACGUUAAUAGCCGAGCUGUCUAUACCAUGAAAAUGAGUAAUGCAUGCUCGGACUAAUCUUUUUUAUUUAAUAAA